RNAcentral lists this small RNA (780 nucleotides) under Pongo abelii (Sumatran orangutan). RNAcentral's name for it is "retained intron". The record is from RNAcentral. Lineage: Eukaryota; Metazoa; Chordata; Mammalia; Primates; Hominidae.
UGCCUGUUCAAAUUAGCAGCCAGUGUUUUUUGUAAACCAUCUUACACGGUUUACUUGGGAUUGAUAGCUGCUCCAAAUCUUCCUUUUUUUUUCUUCCCUCUCACAAUUUUUCUCUUUGGUAACUCUUAUUUCAUUGUCAGAAAACUAAACCCAACAGUAAUCACAGCCCACUGAUUUUUUUGUUGUAUUUACCUAAUAUUGUUAUUCAGUCUUUUCCAUUUGUGUCACAUAUAGUAAAUAAAUUCUUUUUUUUUCUUUUAGAAUUGGGUUGUGAGCAAAUUUGGAAGAGUCUUACCUGUUCUUCACCUUAAAAAUCAACAUAAACGUAAAGUCAUCAAAUAUGAUCCCUCAAAAUAUUGCCACAACCUGAAGAAGAUAGGGGAGGAUUUCUCAAACACCAUUCCUAUAUCCAGCCUGACUUGGGAAUUAGAAGGAGGGAAUGACCCUAUGAGUAAGAAACGGCGAGGAGAGUUCUCUGACUUUCAUGGCCCUCCCAAGAAGAUAAUAAAAGUGCAGAAGGAUGAGAGUUCCACUGGGUCUCUGGCCAUGAGUACAAGGCCCAGGAGGGUAAUAGAGAGACCACCCUUAACACAGCAACAGGCUGCCCAAAAAAGAACUUGUGAUUCCAUUACUCCUUCUAAAUCAUCUCCUGUACCUGUUUCUGAUACUCAGAAACUUAAAAAUCUACCUUUUAAGACUUCUGGCUUGAAAACUGCCAAGAAGAGAAAUAGCAUUUCUGAUGAUGAUACUGAUUCUGAAGAUGAAUUGAGAAUGAUGAUU